UACGUAGGGGGCAAGCGUUGUCCGGAAUUAUUGGGCGUAAAGCGCGCGCAGGCGGUUGUUUAAGUCUGGGGUUUAAGUUCGGGGCUCAACCCCGUAUCGCCCUGGAAACUGGGGAACUGGAGUGUAGGAGAGGAAAGUGGAAUUCCACGUGUAGCGGUGAAAUGCGUAGAGAUGUGGAGGAACACCAGUGGCGAAGGCGACUUUCUGGCCUAUAACUGACGCUGAGGCGCGAAAGCGUGGGGAGCAAACAGGAUUAGAUACCCUGGUAGUCCACGCCGUAAACGAUGCACGCUAGGUGUUGGGGGUUUCAAUACCCUCGGUGCCGAAGUUAACACAUUAAGCGUGCCGCCUGGGGAGUACGCUCGCAAGAGUGAA
RNAcentral lists this ribosomal RNA (375 nucleotides) under uncultured bacterium. RNAcentral describes it as "bacterial SSU rRNA". It matches the Rfam family "Bacterial small subunit ribosomal RNA", at positions 524 to 898 of the family's 1533-position model. The record is from RNAcentral.